Molecule: long non-coding RNA, 126 nt
Organism: Sander lucioperca (pikeperch)
Lineage: Eukaryota; Metazoa; Chordata; Actinopteri; Perciformes; Percidae
Exons: 3
Source: RefSeq, a predicted model, not a curated record
GGAUAAGAAAAAACAAGAUAGUGGUGCUUUGCUUAAAUUUCUCAGCCCUCAGGCUCUUCCUAAGGAUACCUCCACUGAUGAAGCUACACCAUCAACUUCAUCCUCAACAUCAACCGAUGCAUCACU